RNAcentral lists this ribosomal RNA (460 nucleotides) under uncultured bacterium. RNAcentral describes it as "partial 16S ribosomal RNA". It matches the Rfam family "Bacterial small subunit ribosomal RNA", at positions 338 to 795 of the family's 1533-position model. The record is from RNAcentral.
CCUACGGGUGGCUGCAGUGAGGAAUAUUGGUCAAUGGGCGCGAGUCUGAACCAGCCAAGUAGCGUGAAGGAUGACUGCCCUAUGGGUUGUAAACUGCUUUUAUAAAGGAAUAAAGUGAGGUACGUGUGCCUGUUUGUAUGUACCUUAUGAAUAAGGAUCGGCUAACUCCGUGCCAGCAGCCGCGGUAAUACGGAGGAUUCGAGCGUUAUCCGGAUUUAUUGGGUUUAAAGGGUGCGUAGACGGGUUGAUAAGUUAGUGGUGAAAUCUCGGGGCUCAACCCCGGAAUUGCCAUUGAUACUGGCAGGCUUGAGUUCAGUUGAGGUAGGCGGAAUGUAUGGUGUAGCGGUGAAAUGCAUAGAGAUCAUACAGAACACCGAUUGCGAAGGCAGCUUACCAAACUACGACUGACGUUGAGGCACGAAAGUGUGGGGAGCAAACAGGAUUAGAUACCCGAGUAGUC